RNAcentral lists this transfer RNA (74 nucleotides) under Pacificimonas pallii. RNAcentral's name for it is "tRNA-Gly". It matches the Rfam family "tRNA". Rfam says of the family: Transfer RNA (tRNA) molecules are approximately 80 nucleotides in length. Their secondary structure includes four short double-helical elements and three loops (D, anti-codon, and T loops). Further hydrogen bonds mediate the characteristic L-shaped molecular structure. tRNAs have two regions of fundamental functional importance: the anti-codon, which is responsible for specific mRNA codon recognition, and the 3' end, to which the tRNAs corresponding amino acid is attached (by aminoacyl-tRNA synthetases). tRNAs cope with the degeneracy of the genetic code in two manners: having more than one tRNA (with a specific anti-codon) for a particular amino acid; and 'wobble' base-pairing, i.e. permitting non-standard base-pairing at the 3rd anti-codon position. The record is from RNAcentral. Lineage: Bacteria; Pseudomonadati; Pseudomonadota; Alphaproteobacteria; Sphingomonadales; Sphingosinicellaceae.
GCGGGUGUAGCUCAAUGGCAGAGCUCUUGCUUCCCAAGCAAGCGACGGGGGUUCGAUUCCCCUCACCCGCUCCA